AGAGUUUGAUCCUGGCUCAGAGCGAACGCUGGCGGCAGGCUUAACACAUGCAAGUCGAGCGGGCACUUCGGUGUCAGCGGCAGACGGGUGAGUAACACGUGGGAACGUACCCUUCGGUUCGGAAUAACGCUGGGAAACUAGCGCUAAUACCGGAUACGCCCUUUUGGGGAAAGGUUUACUGCCGAAGGAUCGGCCCGCGUCUGAUUAGCUAGUUGGUGGGGUAACGGCCUACCAAGGCGACGAUCAGUAGCUGGUCUGAGAGGAUGAUCAGCCACACUGGGACUGAGACACGGCCCAGACUCCUACGGGAGGCAGCAGUGGGGAAUAUUGGACAAUGGGCGCAAGCCUGAUCCAGCCAUGCCGCGUGAGUGAUGAAGGCCUUAGGGUUGUAAAGCUCUUUUGUCCGGGACGAUAAUGACGGUACCGGAAGAAUAAGCCCCGGCUAACUUCGUGCCAGCAGCCGCGGUAAUAC
RNAcentral lists this ribosomal RNA (472 nucleotides) under Methylobacterium marchantiae. RNAcentral describes it as "bacterial SSU rRNA". It matches the Rfam family "Bacterial small subunit ribosomal RNA", at positions 8 to 526 of the family's 1533-position model. Lineage: Bacteria; Pseudomonadati; Pseudomonadota; Alphaproteobacteria; Hyphomicrobiales; Methylobacteriaceae. The record is from RNAcentral.